This 382-nucleotide ribosomal RNA is filed under the name uncultured eukaryote. RNAcentral describes it as "partial 18S ribosomal RNA". It matches the Rfam family "Eukaryotic small subunit ribosomal RNA", at positions 592 to 976 of the family's 1831-position model. The record is from RNAcentral.
CAAUAGCGUAUAUUAAAGUUGUUGCAGUUAAAAAGCUCGUAGUUGGAUUUCUGGUUGAAGCGACCGGUCGGGCGUUGAUUCGUCUGCACUGGAGUCGGUUUUGGCCAUCCUCUAGGAAAGUGCGUCUGGUAUUAAGUUAUCGGGCGUAUGAUCCUGGUCUUUUACUGUGAAAAAAUUAGAGUGUUUAAAGCAGGCCUUCGCCUUGAAUACAUUAGCAUGGAAUAAUAAGAUAGGACUUUGGUCUAUUUUGUUGGUUUGCAGACCGAAGUAAUGAUUAAUAGGGAUAGUUGGGGGUAUUUAUAUUCCGAUGUCAGAGGUGAAAUUCUUAGAUUUUCGGAAGAUAAACUUAUGCGAAAGCAUUUACCAAGGACGUUUUCAUUAA